This is a non-coding RNA of Cicer arietinum (chickpea), 394 nucleotides long. Lineage: Eukaryota; Viridiplantae; Streptophyta; Magnoliopsida; Fabales; Fabaceae. The record is from RefSeq and is a predicted model, not a curated record.
GGAGGUGAGAACGGCAAAACAGAAAGUAAAGGGAGAGAAAAAAAAUGGUGAGAUAGAGAAGAAGAAAGAGAGAGAGAAAGAAGAAGAGAAGGAGAAAGAAAAAAAAAACAACCAAAAACAUUGACAACCCAAGAAAAGAGAAAGGAAAAAUGCAAUUUUGCUAGAAGUCAAUGUAGAAAGAGUUGAGGGUACCAUCAUUUUCUCCAAUCUUUUGUAAAUCAAGAGAUAAAAAGGCUUACAUCACAUGUUAGAGAAAUGACGCGUAUCAGUUUACACUAUAGUCUGCUUAUAAUUUAUGGAGAAUUAUUUUGAACUAUGGAUGUGUUAUGUACUCCAUAUUUCUAUGUUUUUCUUUGAAGGAUUAAUAUGUGUAUGAAUACAUUUUUAUGACUUU